This is a long non-coding RNA of Rana temporaria (common frog), 741 nucleotides long. RefSeq lists it as uncharacterized. The record is from RefSeq and is a predicted model, not a curated record. Lineage: Eukaryota; Metazoa; Chordata; Amphibia; Anura; Ranidae. The transcript has 2 exons.
GAGAGGACGACCCCUAAACGGACUUCCGUGUUCUGUGUACACAAGCUCCUCCCCUCUCCUUCCGCCUAUUCUGCGCACUGGGACGCCGACGGUCACCAUAGAGACGAGAGCAAGACUUCCUGUCACGUGAGCGCCUGUGAUCACGUCUGCACUGGCUGGCCGCCGCCUCUUGUACACCGAGACAGAAUGGAGAGCCGGGAGAGAACAUUACACCGGGAGAAGGAGGGGAGCAGAGAGCCCGCACAGCUGGCGGAGAGGAGGAAGGAGGCGGAGGGCUGUCUGAAGACUCUGUCCUGUCAUUCAUACUGGUUCGAUGUGUGGAUCUUCUUACUGUUUGACCUGGUGCUGUUCAUCUUCAUCUACCUGCUGCCUUCCGAAGCCUAACACAAGUCUACGUCAUUUGACUCUUGACCACCCCGCCUUGAGGAGACGUACACAAUUUAAGCAGGAUGAGGAGAGGCGUGGCCAUGUCAAACUGCAGGUCUACAGCAUGACUUCAGGACAUGAGACAAGUGUGGACUCUGAAAAGACUGCUUUCCAAUCAAGACCUGUUCAUUUUUACCAUUCCCUUGCAGAGAUAUUUAUUUUCACUUGCAAUUACUUUUUUGGAGUUAUUUCUUAAAUACUUUAUAAUAUAAUUAUACUAAAGUAGUUAUUUAAAAAAAAAAAAAAAUGCUCCUGUGUCAUUUAUAAUGGUUGCAUUUUCAUGAUCUUUUUUUAAAAUACAUUUUAACUUCUUAA